GACGAACGCUGGCGGCGUGCUUAACACAUGCAAGUCGAACGGAAAGGCCCUGCUUUUGUGGGGUGCUCGAGUGGCGAACGGGUGAGUAACACGUGAGUAACCUGCCCUUGACUUUGGGAUAACUUCAGGAAACUGGGGCUAAUACCGGAUAGGAGCUCCUGCUGCAUGGUGGGGGUUGGAAAGUUUCGGCGGUUGGGGAUGGACUCGCGGCUUAUCAGCUUGUUGGUGGGGUAGUGGCUUACCAAGGCUUUGACGGGUAGCCGGCCUGAGAGGGUGACCGGCCACAUUGGGACUGAGAUAAGGCCCAGACUCCUACGGGAGGCAGCGGUGGGGAAUAUUGCACAGUGGGCGGAAGCCUGAUGCAGCAACGCCGCGUGCGGGAUGACGGCCUUCGGGUUGUAAACCGCUUUCGCCUGUGACGAAGCGUGAGUGACGGUAAUGGGUAAAGAAGCACCGGCUAACUACGUG
Molecule: ribosomal RNA, 468 nt
Filed under: uncultured bacterium
Lineage: Bacteria
Description: partial 16S ribosomal RNA
Rfam family: Bacterial small subunit ribosomal RNA
Source: RNAcentral